This 329-nucleotide ribosomal RNA is filed under the name Ctenophora environmental sample. RNAcentral describes it as "partial Bacterial large subunit ribosomal RNA". It matches the Rfam family "Bacterial large subunit ribosomal RNA", at positions 533 to 866 of the family's 2925-position model. The record is from RNAcentral. Lineage: Eukaryota; Metazoa; Ctenophora.
GGGGAGUGAAAUAGAACCUGAAACUUUAUGCUUUUAAAGAAUGGGAGCCUUCGGGUGACCAUGUACUUUUUGUAGAACGGACCAAUGAGUUAGUGUAUAUGGCAAGGUUAAGUCAGAUGAAGACGAAGCCGUAGUGAAAGCAAGCCUGAAUAGGGCGAUUAGUCAUGUAUACUAGACCCGAAACUGAGUGAGCUUCCCAUGAGCAGGCUGAAGUCCCGUUAACCCGGGAUGGAGGGCCGAACCAUUUGGAGCUGCAAGUCCAUUGGAUGACUUGUGGGAAGGAGUGAAAAGCUAAUCGAACUCAGAAAUAGCUGGUUCUCCGCGAAAUA